UGCCAUAAGGAAAGAAAGGAAAGAAAAAGAACGAAGAAGAAGAAGGAGGGGGAAGCUUGUGUUGGCCAACAAUGGUGGAGGAGUCUCGACUGAGAGUGACGGCGAUGGCGGGAGAUGCAACGGUCAUCGGCGAGCACACUAGUGGCGACGACGACAGCAGGCGCGGAAAAAAGAAAGGCUGCCGUAGCUUUCUUGCCACCGUUCAUGGAGUUUCAGGCAACCAUUGCCGAUGGUUUUAGGCUCAAAAUGUUCAGCAAUUUCUGGACUUCCUUUUCCACCCAUCGUCACCCCUUGAGGCUGCCGAAAUUGCAAAAUCCGACGAGGUAAAAAGUAUAAGGGCAGUUUGGAAUUUUUACUUUUUUGGCCAGUGCCAUUGAGCUUCUGACGAUCAGAGGACACAUUUAGACUCUCCUCGUCAUAAGCUUUCUAAUGGCACUAAUUUUGCAGCGAUCAGACUUCGUUUGAAAAUAGACGGUUGAAACUGUCUAUGAUUUUCUUCGGAAAAUCUAGGACUGGAUCGAAGAAUCAGAUGCUAGAAUCAUCGUCUGUGUGCUAUUUCGAGUCCGUAGGCGCGCUUGGAUCGCCGAUCAGACUCCGGCAGUUGAAGGCGAGUCGGCCGAUUUAUCAAGCGUCUCGAUAAUCCAUCAUUUCAACUCGCUCCACCCGAGGCAUAGAAGCAGAGCAAGGGGGUCGUCAGAACUUAGAACAUGCCAUCUGAUGGAUUGCAUCAGGACCACGUGUGCACCAGUAUAGAUCUGAGACAGGUAGUAAAAGAAUAUUUUAAAAAUUGCCCUGGUCGAGUUCAACUCUCUAAGCUGUGUAGAGUUUGAGUGCCGGAUUAGAGGUCUUUGGUCGAGCGUUGCUCUCUAGGCGUCGGCUUUAUUGGAAAUUAAGUGACUAGACUGGAGUUAAGGACCCUGGUCUAGCUUCGCUCUCUGGGUGUCAAUUCUGUUGGAAUGAGAGAGCACAAAAGGCUGUUAGUGUUGGGGUUAGGGUUCUACUGAAGUACUGGUCUCGUAGCAUGAAAAAUAUAUUUUGUUCAAUCAUGGCAUGACAUGCUUUUUUUUUACAUGACCUAAUAUUUUAUUUGAUUAAAUAAAUAUUUUGUUGAGGUGAUUGUAUUUAUUGUGGAUAUAUGAUUUUAACUCGUUUUCGAGACUGAAAGUCUCAAAUUUAACUAUUUUUCAGGUAUUUGUUAGUUUCUGCAAUUCUUCUCCUCUAGCAGCCUGACUUCCUUCAUCUUCGGGUCUAAUGUAAUUGAUUUUUUUAAAUUCUAAAUUCUCCGCAGUAAUAAUUUCAAAAUUUAUCAUUUGUCAAGGCAUAUUAAUUCAGGUAUUGUCUAUUUAUGCUGCAGACUGAAUAAAAUAUGUAGUAUCUAAGUAAUUAAAAGUUGGUGAUGAAUUAGUGUUAUAAUGGAUAGAAUUUGAAUUAUACUUGAUAGAGAUAACGAAUGGUCAGGCUUGCUACGGGUUUCGAUGACCUUACGCCUACCCAUUCCCUAGCGUAGAUUACAAGCCCAUAGACCGGGUGGUGACAGACCAAAUGACACAUUGAUAUUCUGUAUUUCAUAAAUUACUUUGUUGGAAGCUUACGUGGGUAGCUGCUGGCAUGAGGAAGUCGAGUUUAAAUUCUACAAGAUACAUUAUUAUGGAAAAUUACAACUAAUUUAAAAAUAAAUCGAAAUUUAAGAGGUUUUGUUAUAUCAAAGGCUUAUGUGAAAUAUUGCUAAUCUAAUUUUGAAAUAACAAGACGUUUUUGUUUUUGCUAAUCUAAGUUGUUAUCCCAGGAAUGUGAUUAAUGAUAAUGUGCUAUAAACAUUGCAACUAGUAAGAUAAAGUAAUAAAAAUAAAUAUAUUGGGAUAAGUUAAGAAAAUCACAAUGUGGUUUUAUUUAUUGUCUUAUUUUAUUUUAGUAAGUAUUUUUUUUUUCGAGAUAAAACGAUAUAUAUAGUUAGAAGUCUUGGUUAAAAAAACUAUCUCAUUGUUAAAUAGUUUCAGUUAGUAGGGAUUUAGUUAUUUUCACUCUAAUCUAUUAAUAUUAUUAUGUUAUUUGUGUCUAAUAGUAUAGAUUUAGAACUUAACAUUGUCAAAUAGUUCCCGUUUGAAAAAAUUUAGUUAUUUCUAUUCCAAUUAGCCAUCAUUAUUAUGUAACUUGUGUAUGAUAAUAUAGCUUUAGAGCUUUAACUAACUCUAAAUUUUAUUAUUUGAUUGUUAAAUCGCAAUUUAAGAAAUUACUAAUUUGAUGAGAUAGAUUUAACUGUCAAAUAACAACGCAGUGACUUGUUAAGCUCUAAAUACACAUUAUCAGACACGGGCAAUAUAAUAAUAAUGGUUGAUUAGAAUAAAAAUAAUUAAAUAUUUGUCAAUCAAAAUAUUAAUAAAGAGAUAAUUAUUUUAUCACCAUCUAUAUUCACACGCUUCUCUUGAUUCUUAAAA
Molecule: long non-coding RNA, 2435 nt
Organism: Ricinus communis (castor bean)
Lineage: Eukaryota; Viridiplantae; Streptophyta; Magnoliopsida; Malpighiales; Euphorbiaceae
Exons: 3
Source: RefSeq, a predicted model, not a curated record